This 2725-nucleotide ribosomal RNA is filed under the name Salmonella enterica subsp. enterica serovar Typhimurium. RNAcentral's name for it is "partial 23S ribosomal RNA". It matches the Rfam family "Bacterial large subunit ribosomal RNA". Lineage: Bacteria; Pseudomonadati; Pseudomonadota; Gammaproteobacteria; Enterobacterales; Enterobacteriaceae. The record is from RNAcentral.
CCCUGGCAGUCAGAGGCGAUGAAGGGCGUGCUAAUCUGCGAUAAGCGCCGGUAAGGUGAUAUGAACCGUUAUAACCGGCGAUACCCGAAUGGGGAAACCCAGUGUGAUUCGUCACACUAUCAUUAACUGAAUCCAUAGGUUAAUGAGGCGAACCGGGGGAACUGAAACAUCUAAGUACCCCGAGGAAAAGAAAUCAACCGAGAUUCCCCCAGUAGCGGCGAGCGAACGGGGAGGAGCCCAGAGCCUGAAUCAGCAUGUGUGUUAGUGGAAGCGUCUGGAAAGGCGCGCGAUACAGGGUGACAGCCCCGUACACAAAAGCGCAUGUGCUGUGAGCUCGAUGAGUAGGGCGGGACACGUGGUAUCCUGUCUGAAUAUGGGGGGACCAUCCUCCAAGGCUAAAUACUCCUGACUGACCGAUAGUGAACCAGUACCGUGAGGGAAAGGCGAAAAGAACCCCGGCGAGGGGAGUGAAAAAGAACCUGAAACCGUGUACGUACAAGCAGUGGGAGCNNNNNNNNNNNNNNNNNNNNNNNNNNNNNNNNNNNNNNNNNNNNNNNNNNNNNNNNNNNGGGCGUUAAGUUGCAGGGUAUAGACCCGAAACCCGGUGAUCUAGCCAUGGGCAGGUUGAAGGUUGGGUAACACUAACUGGAGGACCGAACCGACUAAUGUUGAAAAAUUAGCGGAUGACCUGUGGCUGGGGGUGAAAGGCCAAUCAAACCGGGAGAUAGCUGGUUCUCCCCGAAAGCUAUUUAGGUAGCGCCUCGUGAAUUCAUCUCCGGGGGUAGAGCACUGUUUCGGCUAGGGGGCCAUCCCGGCUUACCAACCCGAUGCAAACUGCGAAUACCGGAGAAUGUUAUCACGGGAGACACACGGCGGGUGCUAACGUCCGUCGUGAAGAGGGAAACAACCCAGACCGCCAGCUAAGGUCCCAAAGUCAUGGUUAAGUGGGAAACGAUGUGGGAAGGCCCAGACAGCCAGGAUGUUGGCUUAGAAGCAGCCAUCAUUUAAAGAAAGCGUAAUAGCUCACUGGUCGAGUCGGCCUGCGCGGAAGAUGUAACGGGGCUAAACCAUGCACCGAAGCUGCGGCAGCGANNNNNNNNNNNNNNNNNNNNNNNNNNNNNNNNNNNNNNNNNNNNNNNNNNNNNNNNNNNNNNNNUGCUGGAGGUAUCAGAAGUGCGAAUGCUGACAUAAGUAACGAUAAAGCGGGUGAAAAGCCCGCUCGCCGGAAGACCAAGGGUUCCUGUCCAACGUUAAUCGGGGCAGGGUGAGUCGACCCCUAAGGCGAGGCCGAAAGGCGUAGUCGAUGGGAAACGGGUUAAUAUUCCCGUACUUGGUGUUACUGCGAAGGGGGGACGGAGAAGGCUAUGUUGGCCGGGCGACGGUUGUCCCGGUUUAAGCGUGUAGGUGUGUGUUCCAGGUAAAUCCGGUUCACUUUAACACUGAGGCGUGACGACGAGGCACUACGGUGCUGAAGCAACAAAUGCCCUGCUUCCAGGAAAAGCCUCUAAGCAUCAGGUAACACGAAAUCGUACCCCAAACCGACACAGGUGGUCAGGUAGAGAAUACCAAGGCGCUUGAGAGAACUCGGGUGAAGGAACUAGGCAAAAUGGUGCCGUAACUUCGGGAGAAGGCACGCUGACACGUAGGUGAAGUGAUUUACUCAUGGAGCUGAAGUCAGUCGAAGAUACCAGCUGGCUGCAACUGUUUAUUAAAAACACAGCACUGUGCAAACACGAAAGUGGACGUAUACGGUGUGACGCCUGCCCGGUGCCGGAAGGUUAAUUGAUGGGGUCAGCGCAAGCGAAGCUCCUGAUCGAAGCCCCGGUAAACGGCGGCCGUAACUAUAACGGUCCUAAGGUAGCGAAAUUCCUUGUCGGGUAAGUUCCGACCUGCACGAAUGGCGUAAUGAUGGCCAGGCUGUCUCCACCCGAGACUCAGUGAAAUUGAACUCGCUGUGAAGAUGCAGUGUACCCGCGGCAAGACGGAAAGACCCCGUGAACCUUUACUAUAGCUUGACACUGAACAUUGAGCCUUGAUGUGUAGGAUAGGUGGGAGGCUUUGAAGUGUGGACGCCAGUCUGCAUGGAGCCGACCUUGAAAUACCACCCUUUAAUGUUUGAUGUUCUAACGUGGACCCGUAAUCCGGGUUGCGGACAGUGUCUGGUGGGUAGUUUGACUGGGGCGGUCUCCUCCUAAAGAGUAACGGAGGAGCACGAAGGUUGGCUAAUCCUGGUCGGACAUCAGGAGGUUAGUGCAAUGGCAUAAGCCAGCUUGACUGCGAGCGUGACGGCGCGAGCAGGUGCGAAAGCAGGUCAUAGUGAUCCGGUGGUUCUGAAUGGAAGGGCCAUCGCUCAACGGAUAAAAGGUACUCCGGGGAUAACAGGCUGAUACCGCCCAAGAGUUCAUAUCGACGGCGGUGUUUGGCACCUCGAUGUCGGCUCAUCACAUCCUGGGGCUGAAGUAGGUCCCAAGGGUAUGGCUGUUCGCCAUUUAAAGUGGUACGCGAGCUGGGUUUAGAACGUCGUGAGACAGUUCGGUCCCUAUCUGCCGUGGGCGCUGGAGAACUGAGGGGGGCUGCUCCUAGUACGAGAGGACCGGAGUGGACGCAUCACUGGUGUUCGGGUUGUCAUGCCAAUGGCACUGCCCGGUAGCUAAAUGCGGAAGAGAUAAGUGCUGAAAGCAUCUAAGCACGAAACUUGCCCCGAGAUGAGUUCUCCCUGAGACUU